GGAUAGUUGCUCGAGAGGCUGAAGAGGUUAGUCUCGAAAACUAAUAAUGUUUUCUAACAUUCAAGGGUUCAAAUCCCUUACUAUCCGCCA
RNAcentral lists this transfer RNA (90 nucleotides) under Metamycoplasma hominis. RNAcentral's name for it is "tRNA-Ser (CGA) (tRNA-Ser-CGA-1-1)". It matches the Rfam family "tRNA". From Rfam's summary of the family: Transfer RNA (tRNA) molecules are approximately 80 nucleotides in length. Their secondary structure includes four short double-helical elements and three loops (D, anti-codon, and T loops). Lineage: Bacteria; Bacillati; Mycoplasmatota; Mycoplasmoidales; Metamycoplasmataceae. The record is from RNAcentral.